CUCAGAUGUGUCUCUCAACAGAGUAUCUGAUCAUAAAUAAGCAUAAAGAAGAGAGGGGCAAUUUUGCUUGGAGUUGGAAAUUGUGUGUCAGAUCAGAGCUAGUUAAUUUUACAUGUGUUAUUUCAUUUAUUCUUUUCACCAACAAAAGAUAUUUAAUGGAGACUGUGGAAAAGAUGGCCAAUGAGAUGCAGCCAGCAGGUGUCACUCCCACCAAGAGAGACCAAAUUAUUGAGUAAACCAACAUAAUUUGGGCAGCUCUUAAGAGAGAAAAUGCCAAGAGUGGAUGGAGAGAUGAUGCUGAAGCUGUAGCUGAAGAAAGAGGAAGCUGGGAACCCUGCAUGGGGCACCUGAAUGCGAGGGCUAACUCCCAGCCUUGAAUGGCUCCUGGGAAAGUGAGCCCUGGCCUUCUAAAAGUAUCCAAAAAAGAAGCCAACUGACUGUACUCAACUUACACCACAAUUAAAGGAACAUCAGCUCUCCUAGACGAGAAAGAAUCAGCACAAUAAUUUUGACAAUUCAGAAAGCCAGAGUAUCACCUUUACCUCCAAAAAGUCCACUUGCUCUCUAGCAAUGGUUCUUAAUGAGAUUGAAAUGUCUAAAAUGACAAACAGAGAAUUCAGAAUCUGGGUAGAAAGGAAGCACAUUGAGAUCAGAAGGAAGUUGAAACCCAAUCCAAGAAAUCCAAAGCAUCCAGUAAAAUAAUCCAAGAGCUGAAAUACAAAAUAGCUAUUUUAAGAUAAAACCAAACUGAACUUCUAGAGCUGAAAAAUUCACUACAAGAAUUUUAUAAUACAAUUGGAAGUAUUAACAGCAUAAUAAAUCAAUCUGGGGAAAGAAUCUUGAGUUUAAAGACUGGUUCUUCGGAUCAACUCAGACCAAAAAAAAAAAGAAUUUUAAAAAAUGAACAAUGAACAAACCUCCAAGAAGUAUGGGAUUAUGUAAAUAGACAAAAUCUAUGACUCAUUGGCAUUCCUGAGAGAAAAGGAGAGAGAAUAAGCAACUUGGAAAAUAUAUUUGAGGGUAGAGUUGAUGAAAAUUUAUCUAAUCUUGCUAGAGAGGUUGACAUGCAAUUCCAAGAAACAGAGAACCCUAACUAUAUACUAUACAAGGAAACCAUCCCCAAGGCACAUAGUCAUCAGACUCACCAAGGGCAAUACAAAAGAAAAAAUCUUAUAGGCAGCUUGAGAUAAGGGUCAAUUCAUGUACAGAGGGAAACCCAUCAGACUGGCAGAAGACCUCUCACCAGAAACUGUACAAGCCAGAAGAGAUGGGGCCUAUUUUCAGUGUCCUUAAAAGAAAUUCUAACCAAGAAUUUUAUAUCCUACUAAACUAAGAUUCAUAAGUGAAGGAGAAAUAAAAUCUUUCUCAGACAAGCUAAUGCUCAGGGGAUAAUUUCAACUAGACCAGCUUUACAAUAAGUCCUCAAUGGUAUACUAAACAUGAUAUCAAAACAAUGGCACUUGCUACCACAAAAAGACAGUUAAGCACAUAGCCUACAGGCACUAUAAAGCAAUUAUCCAAUCAAGUCUGCAUAACAACCAGCUAACAACACAAUGACAGGAUCAAAAGCUCACAUAUCAAUACUAACCUUGAAUGUAAAUGGGCUAAUUGUCUCACAUAAAAGGCAUAGGGUAACAAGCUGGAUAAAGACAAGACCCAACCAUCUACUAUCUUCAAGAGAUCCAUCUCACAUGCAAUGACACCCACAGGCUCAAAGUAAAGUAAUGGAGAAGGAUCUACCAUGCUAAUGGAAAUAAAAGAGCAAAGAGCAGG
RNAcentral lists this long non-coding RNA (1773 nucleotides) under Homo sapiens (human). RNAcentral describes it as "HSALNT0139515". Lineage: Eukaryota; Metazoa; Chordata; Mammalia; Primates; Hominidae. The record is from RNAcentral.